Labrus mixtus (cuckoo wrasse) is the source of this 1634-nucleotide long non-coding RNA. RefSeq lists it as uncharacterized. NCBI's taxonomy places the organism in Eukaryota, Metazoa, Chordata, Actinopteri, Labriformes, Labridae. The transcript has 3 exons. The record is from RefSeq and is a predicted model, not a curated record.
ACACACACACACACUGAACCUGGUCUCAGACUGACCCUUGUGGAGAAAGAAAAUAUCUGUACACAUGUUAGAUCCAAUCAGAGGGCAGCUUCAGUGAGAAGAAGUUUUUGAUUACUGAGUCAGUUUUCUUAAGAUAUGAAGCUGCAGGUAGAGGUCUCAGGUGUGAAGCUGCAGGUAGAGGUCUCAGGUGUGAAGCUGCAGGUAGAGGUCUCAGGUGUGAAGCUGCAGGUAGAGGUCUCAGGUGUGAAGCUGCAGGUAGAGGUCUCAGGUGUGAAGCUGCAGGUAGAGGUCUCAGGUGUGAAGCUGCAGGUAGAGGUUUCAGGUGUGAAGCUGCAGGUAGAGGUCUCAGGUAGAGGUCUCAGGUGUGAAGCUGCAGGUAGAGGUGUCAGGUGUGAAGCUGCAGGUAAAGGUCUCAGGUGUGAAGCUGCAGGUAGAGGUCUCAGGUGUGAAGCUGCAGGUAGAGGUCUCAGGUAGAGGUCUCAGGUGUGAAGCUGCAGGUAGAGGUCUCAGGUAUGAAGCUGCAGGUAGAGGUCUCAGGUGUGAAGCUGCAGGUAGAGGUCUCAGGUAGAGGUCUCAGGUGUGAAGCUGCAGGUAGAGGUCUCAGGUGUGAAGCUGCAGGUAGAGGUCUCAGGUGUGAAGCUGCAGGUAGAGGUCUCCGGUGUGAAGCUGCAGGUAGAGGUCUGAGGUGUGAAGCUGCAGGUAGAGGUUUCAGGUGUGAAGCUGCAGGUAGAGGUCUCAGGUGUGAAGCUUCAGGUAGAGGUCUCAGGUGUGAAGCUGCAGGUAGAGGUCUCAGGUAGAGGUCUCAGGUGUGAAGCUGCAGGUAGAGGUCUCAGGUGUGAAGCUGCAGGUAGAGGUCUCAGGUAUGAAGCUGCAGGUAGAGGUCUCAGGUGUGAAGCUGCAGGUAGAGGUCUCAUGUGUGAAGCUGCAGGUAGAGGUCUCAGGUGUGAAGCUGCAGGUAGAGGUUUCAGGUAUGAAGCUGCAGGUAGAGGUGUCAGGUGUGAAGCUGCAGGUAGAGGUCUCAGGUGUGAAGCUGCAGGUAGAGGUCUCAGGUGUGAAGCUGCAGGUAGAGGUCUCAGGUAUGAAGCUGCAGGUAGAGGUGUCAGGUGUGAAGCUGCAGGUAGAGGUGUCAGGUGUGAAGCUGCAGGUAGAGGUGUCAGGUAUGAAGCUGCAGGUAGAGGUGUCAGGUAUGAAGCUGCAGGUAGAGGUGUCAGGUAUGAAGCUGCAGGUAGAGGUCUCAUGUGUGAAGCUGUAGGUAGAGGUGUCAGGUGUGAAGCUGCAGGUAGAGGUGUCAGGUAUGAAGCUGCAGGUAGAGGUCUCCGGUGUGAAGCUGCAGGUAGAGGUCUCAUGUGUGAAGCUGUAGGUAGAGGUGUCAGGUGUGAAGCUGCAGGUAGAGGUGUCAGGUAUGAAGCUGCAGGUAGAGGUCUCAUGUGUGAAGCUGCAGGUAGAGGUGUCAGGUGUGAAGCUGCAGGUAGAGGUGUCAGGUGUGAAGCUGCAGGUAGAGGUCUCAGGUGUGAAGCUGCAGGUAGAGGUGUCAGGUAUGAAGCUGCAGGUAGAGGUCUCAGGUAUGAAGCUGCAGGUAGAGGUCUCAGGUAAACUAUUCUCACUACAUGGUAAACCCUACUGUUCACUGAUUG